RNAcentral lists this unclassified non-coding RNA (252 nucleotides) under uncultured Mortierella. Its description in RNAcentral is "partial internal transcribed spacer 2". The record is from RNAcentral. Lineage: Eukaryota; Fungi; Mortierellomycota; Mortierellomycetes; Mortierellales; Mortierellaceae.
AACACCUCAAAGCUUUUGGAUUUUUUUUUUUUGAAAGCUUUUGACUUUAGCAAUCCCAACACCAAUCUUUUUCAGAUCGGCGGCGGGUUGCUUGAAAUGCAGGUGCAGCUGGACUUUCUCCUGAGCUAAAAGCAUAUUCAUUUAGUCCCGUCAAACGGAUUAUUACUUUUGCUGCAGCUAACAUAAAGGGAGUUUGACCGCAUUGGCUGACUGAUGCAGGAUUUCACAAGGGUCGGCAACGAUUCUUGUUAA